Molecule: ribosomal RNA, 302 nt
Filed under: uncultured bacterium
Lineage: Bacteria
Description: partial 16S ribosomal RNA
Rfam family: Bacterial small subunit ribosomal RNA
Source: RNAcentral
GCAGUAGCCGCGGUAAUACGAGGGGUGCAAGCGUUAUUCGGAUUGAUCGGGUGUAAAGGGUGUGCAGACGGCUUAUUAAGUCACUUGUUAAAUUCUUCGGCCUAACUGAAGGUCUGCAAGUGAUACUGAUGAGCUAGAGGGUGGAAGAGAGAAGUGGAAUUCUCGGAGUAGCGGUAAAAUGCGUAGAUCUCGAGAGGAACACCAAUGGCGAAGGCAGCUUCUUGGUCCAUUCCUGACGUUCAUACACGAAAGCGUGGGGAGCAAACAGGAUUAGAUACCCCCGUAGUCCCUGUCUCUUAUAC